RNAcentral lists this long non-coding RNA (803 nucleotides) under Trifolium pratense (red clover). RNAcentral's name for it is "long non-coding RNA (TPRA_LNC007934)". Lineage: Eukaryota; Viridiplantae; Streptophyta; Magnoliopsida; Fabales; Fabaceae. The record is from RNAcentral.
AAAAAUAAAUAUUACUACCUCCGUCCCUAAUUAUAAGACUUUGUUUGACCACUGCACGUACAUCAAUGCACAAUUUUGAUCAUUAAUAUCUUUAGUUGUGUAUUAGUAAAAAUUAUAAAAAUUUAAUAUUUUGAAAAUACUCAUCAAAACAAAUUGAACAAGGUCUUACAUGUUAAUAUUUAUAUUUAGAUAUUAUUAAAAAAAAUACGGUCAAAACAAUAUAAAUGUAUAGUACAUUUUUGUCAAACAGUGUCUUAUAAUUAGGAACGGACGUAGUAUCAUAUAAGAUGUUGUUUGAUUCGUCUCGAUGAAUAUUUUCAAAAUAUCAAAUUUUUAUAAUUUUUACUAUUAUACAAUUAAAAAUAUUAAUCGUCAAAGUUAUGCAUCGGCAUGCGUGAAACAGUCAACUGUGUCAAUCAAAUUGGGAUGGAAGAAGCAUAUUACAAGGUUAUUUUAGUAAUUGUAAUAGAAAUUUUACAUGAAAUCAAGACAAAAAAAUAAUUUAUUAAUAAGUGUGCACUGGGCAAAUUGGUAUAUUUCCUUACAAAAGAAGCCGGUAAUUUGUUGGCAUCACUAGAUGAACAAUGGUGAUCACACUAGGUAUCAUCCAUACAAAAUAUGUUCAUUACUGACUUGUUAGUUGUUAAGAAGGGUCCAUUUGAAUUACCAAAAACUUUGUUAUACAACUUUUGUCAAAAGAAACGUUAGAAUUAAACAUAAAUACAUCAAAACAUAUAUUCAGGAAGCAUGAAAUAAUUGUGGAACCAAGUUGUUCUUCAUAUAGUCGUCAUAUUACUUUUUUU